Molecule: ribosomal RNA, 532 nt
Filed under: Bifidobacterium longum subsp. suillum
Lineage: Bacteria; Bacillati; Actinomycetota; Actinomycetes; Bifidobacteriales; Bifidobacteriaceae
Description: bacterial SSU rRNA
Rfam family: Bacterial small subunit ribosomal RNA
Source: RNAcentral
GUAAUGCCGGAUGCUCCAGUUGAUCGCAUGGUCUUCUGGGAAAGCUUUCGCGGUAUGGGAUGGGGUCGCGUCCUAUCAGCUUGACGGCGGGGUAACGGCCCACCGUGGCUUCGACGGGUAGCCGGCCUGAGAGGGCGACCGGCCACAUUGGGACUGAGAUACGGCCCAGACUCCUACGGGAGGCAGCAGUGGGGAAUAUUGCACAAUGGGCGCAAGCCUGAUGCAGCGACGCCGCGUGAGGGAUGGAGGCCUUCGGGUUGUAAACCUCUUUUAUCGGGGAGCAAGCGAGAGUGAGUUUACCCGUUGAAUAAGCACCGGCUAACUACGUGCCAGCAGCCGCGGUAAUACGUAGGGUGCAAGCGUUAUCCGGAAUUAUUGGGCGUAAAGGGCUCGUAGGCGGUUCGUCGCGUCCGGUGUGAAAGUCCAUCGCUUAACGGUGGAUCCGCGCCGGGUACGGGCGGGCUUGAGUGCGGUAGGGGAGACUGGAAUUCCCGGUGUAACGGUGGAAUGUGUAGAUAUCGGAAGAAGAACA